This is a long non-coding RNA of Arabidopsis lyrata subsp. lyrata, 4076 nucleotides long. RefSeq lists it as uncharacterized. NCBI's taxonomy places the organism in Eukaryota, Viridiplantae, Streptophyta, Magnoliopsida, Brassicales, Brassicaceae. The record is from RefSeq and is a predicted model, not a curated record. The transcript has 7 exons.
GGGGAAGAGAUAGCUGUGAAAAGAUUGUUAAUGAAAUCAGGAAAACGAGACAAUGAGUUUGUAAACGAAAUCUCAUUGGUUGCGAAACUUCAACAUCGUAAUCUUGUUAGGCUUUUAGGUUUCUACUUAGAAGGAGAAGAACGACUUCUCAUAUAUGAGUUCUUCCAGAACGCAAACCAUUUGGCUACUUCUUUCUCAAGAAGUUUGACUUCUCAUAUAUGAGUCAGGUUUUUUAAGGGUUUGGCUACUUCUUUCUCAAGGUUUAUGUCAUUGAUUUUGUUAGCGUUAUUAGAUGUUAGAUUCUAUUUUUUACUUGGUUUGAUUUUGGAUAAUUUCAGUUUUUAUGCAGCUCAGUUUCUAGUAAGCAUAUUUGUUCUUUGAGUGAUUUCUUUUCCAGGAUCUAUAUUGCAUCUGUGGUUUUCAUGUUUAUGUUGAUUACUAAUCUUGUGUUAUUUUACACUUGCGUGGAUGCAGGAGACUGAAGUUUCUGGUUUCUUUUGUGGUAUAUUCACAUUCACAUGGAAGUUGUUUAUUAUCUUCCCUUUUUUUAAGUUUGAGUACAUAUUGUGAUGGAUUUCAUCUAUUCAGUUUAUGGCUUUAUGUAUAUAUUUGAACAUGUUGAAUUUAGCCAUCUAACUUUUGUUUUCUCCCGACUUUAGGAGGAUCAAGAAACAGCAGCUCGUUUAGCGAGCACAAUGACAUAUUUGUUUAAGGGAAGAGCACUACAGGUACCUUGUUUUAUUAUUAUAAGUAAUAGCCACUGAAAGAUUCAAUAAAUAACGUGAUCUUCUUGCAGGCCCAUAUAUUUGAGGGUAAAGAGCCUCCACAAUUUGUUGCACUUUUUCAACAUAUGGUGGUCCUUAAGGUAUUUCUUUUGAUUGUUGCUGGAAGAAAAUAUAUUAUCUUUUAGGGUGGUUUGAGCUCUGGUUACAAAAACAGAAUGAUAGAGAAAGGUUCAUCAGACGAAACCUACACCGCUACACGCCGGAAUCAGUGCACUUUUUCAAGUAUCUAGAACUGGAGUUCACAAUAAUAAGGCACUACAACUUAAAGCGGUAAUUUUCUACCUUACUUUCUCUCUUGUUAAGUGCUUUCUACUUUAGACUGUUCAAAACUUCGGCAUGGAAACCAUAGUACGCAUAAGCAGCAAGAGUGGCUGCUAAAGUUACUGAAUUCUUAAAGGUAGUUUCUAAUGGUGUUAUCUUUGAUUUUAGUUUAGCUGAAAUUGUCUAAGUAGAGCCUAUAUAAUUUUUAUAAAGCUUAUUACUCGUACUUCUUAUCACAGUCUUCAAUUGGUAAAUUUAACCAUCUUUUUUUUGCAUGGGAUUACUGUCAAGCACGCAAAAGAGGGACAAGGAGCUCAUUCUUUUGGUUUGCACUUGGGGGAAAACAGAACUUCACCAGCAGAUGGUUUCCUCCGAGACUGUUAGGGAUUUUCACUUGUUCUCCUUUUCCUUCAGCAGAGGAAAAUUUCAGGUGCGAAUUUAGAAAAAUUAUGCAACGUUUUCUUAUCAGUUAUCAAGAUGUGUGCACAGUUGGAGAGAUUCACAACUUUGGAUCUCUAGAGGGAAGAAAUGCAUUUAUGUGGGUUGGUCAAUGUGUGGACCCAAAGGAAAAACAAACAUAAAGUUUUGAGAUUAGCCAAGUAAUAUGCUUCAUCAGUUUUGCUUCUCAGCAUAAGUUAUUGCUCCUCGUUUUCUACCUUGUUUCCUCUUUGUACAGUUUUGUGCAGAGAUACAUAGAUCUGGUUGGUUCUCUGAACGGCUUGUCCCCAAAAGUUCCAUUAUAGGAAAUCACAGAGGGAAAUGAGCCAUGCUUCUUCACCACUCAUUUUUCAUGGUAUUCUACUAAAGCUACUGUGCAAGGGAAUUCCUUCCAGAAGAAGGCAGCAUUAUUACUUGGUGCACGUUCUGGAGAUACUUCAUGCAUGUGUUUUAUGUUUCCUUGCUUUAUGUACAAUAGUAGCUGGUAAGAACAGAUAUGAUAAUGGAAAAACUGAUGUUGAAACGUUUGUGUACAAUUUACCCUUCUGCUGCAGGGUCUAGCAGUGGUAACCAAGGACCAAGGCAAAGUGCCUGCUGCUUUAUUUGCCUUGACUUCUGCAUUUAAUUCUUCUUCCGGGAAAUAAGCUCUCAUGAGCUGCAGCUUUAUCAACACUUCUUCAUGUUGUGUCUUGGAUGAGAAGAGAGGAAGCUGGCCCAAUAAAUAUCCUUUAUUCCUAUCUACGUAUUCUAUUUGUUUAAGGUUACAACUGGAGUGACAUUAACAUUGGUUUGAUUCUUUAAUAUACAUUUUGGCUCCGUGAUUGUUUUGUUUUCUGUUUAUAUGUGUAGUACUUCUUGUUGCCACCAUGGAGUCGAGAGUGCAAGCUCUGCCAUGUUCUGUUCGUUUCCCGAUGGAGAAUGGUUUCUUCUUCAUCCUUCUUUUUUUUUAAGCCAAUGUAAAGACUUUAUUAUUAUAUGAUUUUCCGUUAACUCUGAAUGUCCAAAUGAUCGCCUCUGUCUCUGUAUGCGUUUGUCACAUUUCUCUACAUAUCCAGUAAAUUUCUUUGCAUUUGGUGAUUGCUUUGAGAGCGAGCAUUUAUGUUGCUCCACAGACUUUUGCUUUCUACACAAAGUGAAGAAGAAAAGAAGGGGGAAAAGAAGAAGAAAGGUUGUAGUGAUAAAAAGACAAUCAUGGUGUUUGUAAAGAAAUGUCAUCACCAAAUUAAUCAACGGCCCGACCAUAUGAUGCUUAUGUAUUUGUGUUCGAGACAAUUGGUAGAGGCUCAAUUAAGCCAGGAUAGAACAGAGAAGAUUUCUGCUCAAAAAGACAAGCAAAUUAUUCAUUGCUCCAUUAGUUUUAUAAAUACUCACUUCAACCUAAAUAUGCUUUCGUAAAUCACCUAAGUCCUUGUCAUUUAUCAUGUGGCCGGGCAACGUGGUAGUGUUGUUGGUGCCUCAUGGCUUGUUUUCAGGUAAUUUCUCGAACUGCCUUUGAAUUUCUUAAAAAUGUAUUAUCGAUUGCCACAUGAUGGGAGUGUCUCUUAAACCUUUAAUGAUUUUAUCUACAAUACUUUCAAUAUAGUGCCUUACUUUGUGUUGAUGUUUAUACGGAUUUCUUCUGUGAUAUGCAGCACAAUCUCUAUAGAAGCACUAGUUUGAAUUAAAGAACACUUUUCAGGCAAAGUUGUUUAUCUGAUCAAAACUGGUUGUGCUAUAUAUAUUUUUUUAAUUUUCUUUUACUUGGGUUAAUGAUCUUAUAUGUGACUAGUUGAUAGGGCUGAAUCUAAGAUCCAUUGAGUGACUGUACGAGAAUUAUGGCUUCAUUUCAUAUCGCCUUAACGGUGAUACUGACACGCUUGAAGCUGAAUACAAGAAGAAUGGAUUCAUGUCAUAUCUCCUUAACAGUGACAACUCGCUAGAUUAUCCUAGUUUCUAUUUCAAGCAGCAGAGGACUCCAAGAUUUUGAGCACUGAAGGUAUGUUUUCUUUCAGGACUAUAAGUUUAUUUUGUUUAGAUUUGAAUCCUAAUUUAGGUUUGUUAAAAACCAUUGAUUUCGUUUGGCUGCAGAGAAUGUGUUGUAUCAUUUAAGUGAAAAUUUGCAUCGAGUGAAGUUGGUGGUUAUGUCCUAAAUGCAGGUUUAGUGGUGGAAAGUAAAUAUAUCAGUGAGAGAAAGCAUAACAAGGAAUUCAGGUGGAGGGACUUGUAGCGCUAAUGGUAACCUAACUAUGAGAAUUCACAGUGAUUGAGCUUGCAGAGAAAUUUUGGCUUGAUGGAUUCUCCAAGGGCAUCCCGUAUAGGCGUAUAUGCAUCCAGGAGAUAAAUAAGAAAGAGUUGACAAAGAAAAAGAAGAAGAACGAGAAUGUUGACCGUAACAAACCCAAAAAGCCUUGAUUCUCAUUCUUUCUAUUUUGGUCUUAAAUAUUUUUUAAAUCUGUUUUGUAUUCAAUUUUAUUGGGAAAACGCAAGAAAGAUUUGUUGAGUAUCCCGAGAUCAACAUCUCAAUUCUUACCAACGAUAUUUCAUUGAAAUGGAAAGUAAAGAAACACGAUUUUAUUCAUUGUUACUUGUGAAAUUGAAUUCCUGGUUUUGAGA